GAGUUUGAUCUUGGCUCAGAUUGAACGCUGGCGGCAGGCCUAACACAUGCAAGUCGAGCGGUAGAGAGAAGCUUGCUUCUCUUGAGAGCGGCGGACGGGUGAGUAAUGCCUAGGAAUCUGCCUGGUAGUGGGGGAUAACGCUCGGAAACGGACGCUAAUACCGCAUACGUCCUACGGGAGAAAGCAGGGGACCUUCGGGCCUUGCGCUAUCAGAUGAGCCUAGGUCGGAUUAGCUAGUUGGUGAGGUAAUGGCUCACCAAGGCGACGAUCCGUAACUGGUCUGAGAGGAUGAUCAGUCACACUGGAACUGAGACACGGUCCAGACUCCUACGGGAGGCAGCAGUGGGGAAUAUUGGACAAUGGGCGAAAGCCUGAUCCAGCCAUGCCGCGUGUGUGAAGAAGGUCUUCGGAUUGUAAAGCACUUUAAGUUGGGAGGAAGGGCAGUAAAUUAAUACUUUGCUGUUUUGACGUUACCGACAGAAUAAGCACCGGCUAACUCUGUGCCAG
This 507-nucleotide ribosomal RNA is filed under the name uncultured bacterium. RNAcentral describes it as "bacterial SSU rRNA". It matches the Rfam family "Bacterial small subunit ribosomal RNA", at positions 9 to 511 of the family's 1533-position model. The record is from RNAcentral.